ACCUGCCUCCAUUGCACGGGGAAGGAUUUUUGGCAGUGGGGGGCACCAGAAGGGUUGGGGAGGAAGGGGGGAGGGUGGAUGAGUAGAAUGAGAACUGGACGGCUCACAAUCACGUCCAGGCUCUCGUCCCUCAGGAGUGUCUUGUUGCACUCAUUUGCUGCUGCAAAGAGCCAGCUUUGAUUUUUCUUGGAGAGGGCUCCAGGCACCCUAACAUCUCAGCUAUGCCAACACCAUGAAGCUGCCUCAGUUUCCAUGAAAUUCAUAAUGAGCCAAGUGGCUUCAGAUGUGGUUGCGUUCCUCCGAUUAGCCAGCAAAAAAAUAAAGGAAAAAAGGAGGAAAAAAGGGACAAAUCCACCCUUUCAGACCUUAUUUCAGUUUCAGAAAAAUUAAAAACCACUAAUGACUUAUGGCUACCAAAACAUGGAGCCACAAUUAGGAGAGAAGGAACUAGGAAAAUGAGGGAGAGAGGUUUAAAAGUGAUAGCCUUUCCCUCCUAAAAAUAACAGCUUCGAUAUCGGUAAUCUUAUCUUAAAUCAGAGAGAGCCUUUCCUGCGAUGGUAUCUGCCUGGAGU
Molecule: long non-coding RNA, 572 nt
Filed under: Pan troglodytes (chimpanzee)
Lineage: Eukaryota; Metazoa; Chordata; Mammalia; Primates; Hominidae
Description: long non-coding RNA NONPTRT015146
Source: RNAcentral